RNAcentral lists this ribosomal RNA (495 nucleotides) under uncultured bacterium. RNAcentral describes it as "partial 16S ribosomal RNA". It matches the Rfam family "Bacterial small subunit ribosomal RNA", at positions 28 to 507 of the family's 1533-position model. The record is from RNAcentral.
GACGAACGCUGGCGGCGUGCCUAAUACAUGCAAGUAGAACGCUGAAGGAGGAGCUUGCUCUUCUGGAUGAGUUGCGUACGGGUGAGUAACGCGUAGGUAACCUGCCUGGUAGCGGGGGAUAACUAUUGGAAACGAUAGCUAAUACCGCAUAAGAGUAGAUGUUGCAUGACAUUUACUUAAAAGGUGCAAUUGCAUCACUACCAGAUGGACCUGCGUUGUAUUAGCUAGUUGGUGGGGUAACGGCUUACCAAGGCGACGAUACAUAGCCGACCUGAGAGGGUGAUCGGCCACACUGGGACUGAGACACGGCCCAGACUCCUACGGGAGGCAGCAGUAGGGAAUCUUCGGCAAUGGACGGAAGUCUGACCGAGCAACGCCGCGUGAGUGAAGAAGGUUUUCGGAUCGUAAAGCUCUGUUGUAAGAGAAGAACGAGUGUGAGAGUGGAAAGUUCACACUGUGACGGUAUCUUACCAGAAAGGGACGGCUAACUACGUG